Micropterus dolomieu (smallmouth bass) is the source of this 497-nucleotide long non-coding RNA. RefSeq lists it as uncharacterized. The transcript is spliced from 3 exons. The record is from RefSeq and is a predicted model, not a curated record. Lineage: Eukaryota; Metazoa; Chordata; Actinopteri; Centrarchiformes; Centrarchidae.
UGUUGCUCCCGCCCCACUCGUUAGUCCCUGUGUACAUGUAUGCCUGCUUGUCUCUCCAGUCUUUGUCACGUCCUUGCGUCUUGUUGAGCGCUCCGCCUUGUGCUCCGUUUUCCCUGUGUUUUCAGAUCGCCUUGUGUUUCCUGGAUUACCUUGUUUGGACUUUUGCCCUGAGCUCCAUGUAAACCUGUUUUAGUUUAGUUUUUGAAUUAAAUAAAUCCUUUGUUUGAACUGCAUCUUCCUCUCGCCUCGCCAUUGUCUGCAUUCAGCUCCCCGACCCGUGACAAUAAUAUGAUUAUAAUUAGCGUCCAUGUUAAUGCCACAUUCCAACUUGAGAGUGGGAAAUAGGACCAUCCAAGGAGCAUAUGAAUGCACCGACCACGUUCACCCGCCUGCCUGCUCAUUGAAACUGUGCCACUCCAGUUUAAUGCAGACAACCCACACCAGCUCUCUUGCGGGCCGCCUUCUUCACUUCCCCAGCGAAAUCCACAGCUCACCGC